Molecule: ribosomal RNA, 392 nt
Filed under: uncultured eukaryote
Lineage: Eukaryota
Description: partial 18S ribosomal RNA
Rfam family: Eukaryotic small subunit ribosomal RNA
Source: RNAcentral
CAAUAGCGUAUACUAAAGUUGUUGCGAUUAAAAAGCUCGUAGUUGGAUCUCAGGCAUGGGCGCACGGUCCGCCUCGCGGCGGUCAAUGUGUGUUUUGUUUCCCAUCCUACGCUUCCCGGUUAUCAGCCCAUGGUGCUCUUCACUGAGCGUUUUGGGUGGCCGGAACGUUUACUUUGAAGAAAUUAGAGUGUUCAAAGCAGGCACGUUGCCUGAAUAAUGGUGCAUGGAAUAAUGGAAUAGGACCUCGGUUCUAUUUUGCUGGUUUUCGGAACACGAGGUAAUGAUUAAGAGGGACAGACGGGGGCAUCCGUAUUGCGGUGUUAGAGGUGAAAUUCUUGGAUCAUCGCAAGACGAACAACUGCGAAAGCAUUUGCCAAGCAUGUUUUCAUUAG